Molecule: transfer RNA, 71 nt
Filed under: Parasutterella excrementihominis
Lineage: Bacteria; Pseudomonadati; Pseudomonadota; Betaproteobacteria; Burkholderiales; Sutterellaceae
Also listed under: 1 other name
Rfam family: tRNA
About the family: Transfer RNA (tRNA) molecules are approximately 80 nucleotides in length. Their secondary structure includes four short double-helical elements and three loops (D, anti-codon, and T loops).
Source: RNAcentral
GGGAUAUAGCUCAGCUGGGAGAGCGCUGCGUUCGCAAUGCAGAGGUCGUGGGUUCGAUCCCCAUUAUCUCC